This is a non-coding RNA of Tirmania nivea, 102 nucleotides long. The record is from the annotation of a GenBank genome assembly. Lineage: Eukaryota; Fungi; Ascomycota; Pezizomycetes; Pezizales; Pezizaceae.
GGCGAGAUGGCCGAGUUGGUUAUGGCGCCAGGUUAAGGAAUAUAUCCUUAACAACAUAUCCUGGUAGGGAAACCUGCGUGGGUUCAAGUCCCACUCUCGUCA